CGACGGAUCCGUAACUGGUCUGAGAGGAUGAUCAGUCACACUGGAACUGAGACACGGUCCAGACUCCUACGGGAGGCAGCAGUGGGGAAAUAUUGGACAAUGGGCGAAAGCCGUGAUCCAGCCAUGCCGCGUGUGUGAAGAAGGUCUUCGGAUUGUAAAGCACUUUAAGUUGGGAGGAAGGGCAGUAAAUUAAUACUUUGCUGGUUUUGAACGUUACCGACAGAAUAAGCACCGGCUAACUCUGUGCCAGCAGCCGCGGUAA
This 262-nucleotide ribosomal RNA is filed under the name uncultured bacterium. Its description in RNAcentral is "partial 16S ribosomal RNA". It matches the Rfam family "Bacterial small subunit ribosomal RNA", at positions 273 to 523 of the family's 1533-position model. The record is from RNAcentral.